AUGGGUGAACACCUCGCGCUGCUGGUGGACCGCCUGCUCACGGAGUCCACGCUGGAGGCGGCCAUCGUGAGCAGGAAGCAGGCUGAGCCGGAGGACGCGCCGGCGGCGAUCGUCUACUGCUGUGACAUCGCCGCCGCAGGCGGCGACCCGAGCAAGAUGGUGGAGUGCAGGAUCUGCCAGGAGGAGGACUGGGACACCGGCAUGGAGGCCCCCUGCGCCUGCCGCGGCAGCCUCAAGUACGCGCACCGAAAAUGCAUCCAGCGCUGGUGCAACGAGAAAGGCGACACCGUCUGCGAAAUAUGCUUGCAGCAAUUCAGGCCAGGUUACACUGCCCCACAGCAGCUGUUCCACUAUGGAAGCAUACCAAUGAACUUCAGGGGGAACUGGGAAGUUGCGCGGCACGAUCUCCACGACUCGCAGGUCAUAACAAUGGUGCCCUCGGAGCGCGACUUCAUGGACGAGUACGACGACUACUUUCCGGUCAGGACGAGGAGCAGCGCCAUGUGUUGCCGGACAGUCGCCAUCAUUCUAUGUCAUUGUGAUCCAACAGUUCCUGGCCCUCCUGGUUCUCCGGCACACUCUCCCUCUCAUGGUCGGCGGCGACGGGGAGUACUCGUUUGCUCUGUUUUUGCCUCUGAUCUUGAAUUUUACCAUUUUUAUGGGGGCGGGAAAAAAACAGCUUCUUGUGCUGAGAACCGCCGGAAUUCUGUUUCCGAUCUUGGUGAUGGUGAGAGCAAUGGCGACCUUCCAUCGUCGUCGCCGCCAACAGAUCACUUGAUACUGCAGGGAAACCAGGGAACUUACAUGUUCUUCUCGGACACCGAGGACGAGGACGAGGAGGAAGAAGAGGAUGCCGAAUCCGAUCCUGCGCGGCCUCGCUACCAACCACGCCUUAUCCCCGUCUACUGA
This 909-nucleotide ribosomal RNA is filed under the name Triticum aestivum (bread wheat). RNAcentral describes it as "partial small subunit ribosomal RNA". Lineage: Eukaryota; Viridiplantae; Streptophyta; Magnoliopsida; Poales; Poaceae. The record is from RNAcentral.